UUAAGCGACUAAGCGUACACGGUGGAUGCCCUGGCAGUCAGAGGCGAUGAAGGACGUGCUAAUCUGCGAAAAGCGUCGGUAAGGUGAUAUGAACCGUUAUAGCCGGCGAUGUCCGAAUGGGGAAACCCAGUGCAAUUCGUUGCACUAUCGUUAACUGAAUACAUAGGUUAACGAGGCGAACCGGGGGAACUGAAACAUCUAAGUACCCCGAGGAAAAGAAAUCAACCGAGAUUCCCCCAGUAGCGGCGAGCGAACGGGGAGCAGCCCGGAGUCUGAAUCAGCUUGUGUGUUAGUGGAAGCGUCUGGAAAGUCGCAGGGUACAGGGUGAUACUCCCGUACACUAAAACGCACAGGUUGUGAACUCGAAGAGUAGGGCGGGGCACGUGGUAUCCUGUCUGAAUAUGGGGGGACCAUCCUCCAAGGCUAAAUACUCCUGACUGACCGAUAGUGAACCAGUACCGUGAGGGAAAGGCGAAAAGAACCCCGGCGAGGGGAGUGAAAAAGAACCUGAAACCGUGUACGUACAAGCAGUAGGAGCCCACUAGUUGGGUGACUGCGUACCUUUUGUAUAAUGGGUCAGCGACUUAUAUUCUGUAGCAAGGUUAACCGUAUAGGGGAGCCGCAGGGAAACCGAGUCUUAACUGGGCGUUAAGUUGCAGGGUAUAGACCCGAAACCCGGUGAUCUAGCCAUGGGCAGGUUGAAGGUUGGGUAACACUAACUGGAGGACCGAACCGACUAAUGUUGAAAAAUUAGCGGAUGACUUGUGGCUGGGGGUGAAAGGCCAAUCAAACCGGGAGAUAGCUGGUUCUCCCCGAAAGCUAUUUAGGUAGCGCCUCGUGAAUUCAUCUUCGGGGGUAGAGCACUGUUUCGGCUAGGGGGUCAUCCCGACUUACCAACCCGAUGCAAACUACGAAUACCGAAGAAUGUUAUCACGGGAGACACACGGCGGGUGCUAACGUCCGUCGUGAAGAGGGAAACAACCCAGACCGCCAGCUAAGGUCCCAAAGUCAUGGUUAAGUGGGAAACGAUGUGGGAAGGCCCAGACAGCCAGGAUGUUGGCUUAGAAGCAGCCAUCAUUUAAAGAAAGCGUAAUAGCUCACUGGUCGAGUCGGCCUGCGCGGAAGAUGUAACGGGGCUAAACCAUGCACCGAAGCUGCGGCAGCGACACUAUGUGUUGUUGGGUAGGGGAGCGUUCUGUAAGCCGUUGAAGGUGGCCUGUGAGGGUUGCUGGAGGUAUCAGAAGUGCGAAUGCUGACAUAAGUAACGAUAAUGCGGGUGAAAAACCCGCACGCCGGAAGACCAAGGGUUCCUGUCCAACGUUAAUCGGGGCAGGGUGAGUCGACCCCUAAGGCGAGGCCGAAAGGCGUAGUCGAUGGGAAACAGGUUAAUAUUCCUGUACUCGGUGUUACUGCGAAGGGGGGACGGAGAAGGCUAUGUUGGCCGGGCGACGGUUGUCCCGGUUUAAGCAUGUAGGCGGAUGUUCCAGGUAAAUCCGGAGCGUCACUAACGCUGAGGUGUGAUGACGAGGCACUACGGUGCUGAAGUGACAAAUGCCCUGCUUCCAGGAAAAGCCUCUAAGCAUCAGGUAACAUCAAAUCGUACCCCAAACCGACACAGGUGGUCAGGUAGAGAAUACCAAGGCGCUUGAGAGAACUCGGGUGAAGGAACUAGGCAAAAUGGUGCCGUAACUUCGGGAGAAGGCACGCUGAUGGUAGGUGAAGCGACUUGCUCGUGGAGCUGAAAUCAGUCGAAGAUACCAGCUGGCUGCAACUGUUUAUUAAAAACACAGCACUGUGCAAACACGAAAGUGGACGUAUACGGUGUGACGCCUGCCCGGUGCCGGAAGGUUAAUUGAUGGGGUUAUCCGUAAGGAGAAGCUCUUGAUCGAAGCCCCGGUAAACGGCGGCCGUAACUAUAACGGUCCUAAGGUAGCGAAAUUCCUUGUCGGGUAAGUUCCGACCUGCACGAAUGGCGUAAUGAUGGCCAGGCUGUCUCCACCCGAGACUCAGUGAAAUUGAACUCGCUGUGAAGAUGCAGUGUACCCGCGGCAAGACGGAAAGACCCCGUGAACCUUUACUAUAGCUUGACACUGAACACUGGUCCUUGAUGUGUAGGAUAGGUGGGAGGCUUUGAAGUGUGGACGCCAGUCUGCAUGGAGCCAUCCUUGAAAUACCACCCUUUAAUGGCUGGUGUUCUAACGUGGGCCCCUGAUCGGGGUUGCGGACAGUGUCUGGUGGGUAGUUUGACUGGGGCGGUCUCCUCCUAAAGAGUAACGGAGGAGCACGAAGGUCAGCUAAUCCUGGUCGGACAUCAGGAGGUUAGUGCAAUGGCAUAAGCUGGCUUGACUGCGAGCGUGACGGCGCGAGCAGGUGCGAAAGCAGGUCAUAGUGAUCCGGUGGUUCUGAAUGGAAGGGCCAUCGCUCAACGGAUAAAAGGUACUCCGGGGAUAACAGGCUGAUACCGCCCAAGAGUUCAUAUCGACGGCGGUGUUUGGCACCUCGAUGUCGGCUCAUCACAUCCUGGGGCUGAAGUAGGUCCCAAGGGUAUGGCUGUUCGCCAUUUAAAGUGGUACGCGAGCUGGGUUUAGAACGUCGUGAGACAGUUCGGUCCCUAUCUGCCGUGGGCGCUGGAGAAUUGAGGGGGGCUGCUCCUAGUACGAGAGGACCGGAGUGGACGCAUCACUGGUGUUCGGGUUGUCAUGCCAAUGGCAUUGCCCGGUAGCUAAAUGCGGAAGAGAUAAGUGCUGAAAGCAUCUAAGCACGAAACUUGCCCCGAGAUGAGUUCUCCCUGACUCCUUGAGAGUCCUGAAGGAACGUUGAAGACGACGACGUUGAUAGGCCGGGUGUGUAAGCGCAGCGAUGCGUUGAGCUAACCGGUACUAAUGAACCGUGAGGCUUAACCUU
RNAcentral lists this ribosomal RNA (2904 nucleotides) under Klebsiella oxytoca. RNAcentral's name for it is "bacterial LSU rRNA". It matches the Rfam family "Bacterial large subunit ribosomal RNA". Lineage: Bacteria; Pseudomonadati; Pseudomonadota; Gammaproteobacteria; Enterobacterales; Enterobacteriaceae. RNAcentral also lists the same sequence under 1 other name. The record is from RNAcentral.